Molecule: long non-coding RNA, 658 nt
Organism: Nannospalax galili (Upper Galilee mountains blind mole rat)
Lineage: Eukaryota; Metazoa; Chordata; Mammalia; Rodentia; Spalacidae
Exons: 3
Source: RefSeq, a predicted model, not a curated record
UUGAUCUCCAGCUUCACAAACUAGACUUUCCAACUAGCCUCAGAGCUCCUAGAUACAGCUUGCAUCAAACCACUAAGAUGGCCCCAACCCAAGCAACUAAGUCAGAAUCUUCAGGAGAAGCCUGGGAAAUCUGCCUUUUGAUGAAAAUCAGUAUUUCAGAACAUAGAAACGUUGUUGGUUUGAUUAUGUGAGAGAACAUGAGUGAAGAAGUAACACAGAAUAGAUGCUCUUGUGUAUUAAUUGGAAUUAAAGUUGAGGCUCCUCAGAAGGUUUGGAAAUAGGAUAUGGGGCCUGGGUGACUAUGAACCCAGAGGCAAUUUUUCUUCUCCAGGCCAAUCCUCUAGGAAGGAUGGACCACUUAGAAGAAAGAUGUGUACAUAGCACACAGAAGACUGAAAUACUCAUCCAACAAAUGGGCACUUUGGGGUUCAGAGUGUUUUGAAAUGAUUUCCAUCAGUUCUCCUGGAAUCAUGGAGGCUCAUCAGCCUCUUGAGAAUGGACAGAGAAAUCUUUCUUCCUUUGUUAUGCUUAGAUUGUUUGGUGCCCACUUGUGUGUGGAGUUUUCUGAGAUAGCUCAUCCAUACCCUUUUCUGUCCCCAGUAUUAUACAUCCUACCAGAGUGACAGGUUGGACAGUUUCAACACCUCUGGCCACAGAG